UGGUGCGAUCAUACGAGCAGUAAAGCACCAGAUCCCAUGAGAACUUCGAAGUUAAGCGUUCUUGAGCGAGAGUAGUACUACAAUGGGUGACCUCCUAAGAAAUCCUCAUGUUGCAGUCC
RNAcentral lists this ribosomal RNA (119 nucleotides) under Hordeum vulgare subsp. vulgare (domesticated barley). Lineage: Eukaryota; Viridiplantae; Streptophyta; Magnoliopsida; Poales; Poaceae. The record is from RNAcentral.